AGAGUUUGAUCCUGGCUCAGGAUGAACGCUGGCGGUCUGCUUAACACAUGCAAGUCGAACGCAACCUUCGGGUUGAGUGGCGGACGGGUGAGUAACGCGUGAGAAUCUGCCUUAGGGUCGGGGACAACCACUGGAAACGGUGGCUAAUACCGGAUAAGCCGAUUGGUGAAAGAUUUAUUGCCCGAAGAGGAGCUCGCGUCUGAUUAGCUAGUUGGUGAGGUAAGAGCUCACCAAGGCAGCGAUCAGUAGCUGGUCUGAGAGGACGAUCAGCCACACGGGGACUGAGACACGGCCCAGACUCCUACGGGAGGCAGCAGUGGGGAAUUUUCCGCAAUGGGCGAAAGCCUGACGGAGCAAGACCGCGUGAGGGAGGAAGGCUCUUGGGUUGUAAACCUCUUUUCUCAGGGAAGAAGCUCUGACAGUACCUGAGGAAUCAGCCUCGGCUAACUCCGUGCCAGCAGCCGCGGUAAUACGGAGGAGGCAAGCGUUAUCCGGAAUUAUUGGGCGUAAAGCGUCCGCAGGUGGCGAUUCAAGUCUGCUGUCAAGGCACGGGGCUUAACUCCGUUAAGGCAGUGGAAACUGAAGAGCUAGAGUGCCGUAGGGGUAGAGGGAAUUCCCGGUGUAGCGGUGAAAUGCGUAGAGAUCGGGAAGAACAUCGGUGGCGAAAGCGCUCUACUGGACGGCAACUGACACUCA
RNAcentral lists this ribosomal RNA (696 nucleotides) under uncultured bacterium. RNAcentral's name for it is "bacterial SSU rRNA". It matches the Rfam family "Bacterial small subunit ribosomal RNA", at positions 8 to 749 of the family's 1533-position model. The record is from RNAcentral.